This is an RNA transcript of Melopsittacus undulatus (budgerigar), 3335 nucleotides long. It is a transcript of the gene named RAD51 paralog B, with no coding region annotated. The record is from RefSeq and is a predicted model, not a curated record. Lineage: Eukaryota; Metazoa; Chordata; Aves; Psittaciformes; Psittaculidae. The transcript has 17 exons.
ACCCGGCCCGCGGAGAUCCCGCAGCUGCGGUGGGAGAGGGACUCCAGGUGUCUGCGGCCCUGCCGGGGCCGGGCGCCAGUGCCAGCUGUGCUGGCACCUCCGGGUCCCGCAGCCAUGGGGCACGCGAGCGCCUGAGCUUCCAGGGCUGCGCCGUGAGACGGGGUCCGCCGGUGCUCGCCUUCAGGGGUUGGGGCCGUAAGAGUGUUUUCUCCUUCCAGGCGAAGUGCUAAUGCCAAGCUCCCCCGCAGCACUUGCUAUUGGAUAUUAUGGCUGCUAAGAAACUCAGAAGAGCAAUGUUGUCCCAGGAGCUGUGUGAAAGGCUGAGUCGCCAUCAGAUCACUACCUGUCAGGACUUUUUACGUCUUUCCUUCUUGGAGCUAAUGAAAGUGACGGGACAGAGCUACUACGAUGUACGGAAGCUUCUUUGUAAAGUCAGCCGAGCUUGUGCUCCCAAAAUGCAGACAGCUUAUGAAAUGAAACUGAGGAAGUCUGUCAAUCCCUCUUCAGCCUUUUUAUCUACCACGCUGCAUAGUUUGGAUGAAGUCUUGCAUGGUGGAGUGCCCUGUGGAUCCCUCACAGAGAUAACUGGCCCACCAGGUUGUGGCAAAACUCAGUUUUGUAUUAUGGCAAGUGUUCUGGCUACACUGCCUGUAAGCAUGGGAGGACUAGAUGGGGCCGUUAUAUAUAUUGACACAGAGUCUGCAUUCAGUGCUGAGAGGUUGAUUGAGAUAGCAGGAAACAGAUUCCCUACUUAUUUUGAUUCGGAAGAAAAGCUGUUCUGCAUGACCUGUAGCAUCCACCUGUAUCGAGAGCUGACCUGUGGUAGUGUACUGAAGAGGAUUACGUCUUUGGAAGAAGAAAUUAUUUCAAAGAAAGUUAAACUCAUAAUAGUUGACUCUAUUGCUUCAGUUGUCAGAAAGGAAUUUGAUACAAAACUCCAAGGCAACCUGAUAGAGAGAAGUAACUUUUUGGCUAGAGGAGCAUCAGUGUUGAAGUAUUUGGCGGAAGAGUUCUCAAUACCAGUUAUCUUGACGAAUCAGAUUACCACAUCGUUGAGCAAUGGCCUUGCGAUACAGGCAGACCUGGUGUCUCCAGCUGAUGAUUUGUCCCUGUCUGAAGGAGCUUCUGGAAGUGGGAAAAGGAAAUCUGGUUGUGUGACAGCAGCCCUUGGCAACACAUGGAGUCACAGCGUCAAUACCAGGCUCAUACUACAAUAUCAUGACUUGCUGACAAGACAGCUCCUGGUUGCUAAAUCUCCUGUUGCUCCAUUCUCUGCAUUUUUCUACACCAUUGAGAAAUCGGGCUUGGUUCUUCAAGUCUGUCAGAAGCUGCUGUGCACGCCUUUACUGCAAAGAUCUGAUGGAAAGGAUCAAACAAAUCUAACCUGGGAAGGAACCAAUCCUGCCCUGCAGACCAUACGAGUGAGGAACACCACCUUGAAAGAUACUUUUCUUGAUGCUGCUUUACCCAGCACUACUGGUGAGACUCCAAGCAAUACAUCCUGUCUAUAGAAAGGACAACUUCAUUAAGAAAUGAAUGAGUGACAACAUUGGUUUUCAAAAAUACAGUGAAGCAUAUAGUAAACAUUCUUCUUUUGUCUCUUUAAAGACUUAGUUAAAAGCACGUGCUGUUCUUUGUAUGUGUGGGGCCAUGCUUAACUCUGAACUUAGGAAAAUCCUGUAUUUUGUUCAAGUUUAUUUAAGUGACAUGGUAAUAAAAGCCUCUGAACAACACACAUGCUACUGAAGAAGCAUAGGCCACACGAGCCUUCCUAAUUUACCCCAUUACCUCACCGAUUUGGAGGAACCAACAGUCAAACAUAAGAGUGCUUGGUGUCCACAGCCCAUAACAUAGUGAAAUAUUUGCUUCUGCUUUUCAAGAGAAAUUAUAAACCCACUCACUGGCUUGACUGACAAGCAGUAGUUCAGUGAGGUCUUAUUCCUGUAACUCACUUGAAAAUCAUCAGAGAUGAUGUAACAGACCUGCUAAUAGCUAGGCUCUAACAGUUUAGAAUGGAAGGAGAACAGGUAGCAAUCCAAAUGGUAGGAAGAUUGGUGUGUAGUGCAGCUGCUCAGCUUCCUCUGUCUUCAAAGUGCUUUUAAUGUAUUCACAACAUGACAGCAAACCACAGAACUAUUUACUCAUCUUACAGACUUAGAGAAUAUGACUCUCUCGAGGCUGCUGAAGGCAUCACUGGCUGUGCUGUGAUCAGGUUCAGGUUGUUCCAGGCUCUCAAGCCUCACACACCUAAGGGAAAGCCAUGGGUUCAGUUAGUGCUGACUGCCAGUGUACAGUUGACAUUGGUCUGAGAGGUUUGUUCUGUCCUCUGCAAUCACAGGGAAAGCCUCCCAGAGCAAACUCUUGAAAAGCAGAGUAACCUGUACAGAAAUAUGGGAGGUCUGGAGAACUGCUGAAGUGGAUGGAGGUAAUCCAGCAAGAAAAUCAGUUGCAGUGGGUCCACCUGUAGCAGUGAGGAACUACGUCUGCACUUUUCCAGACUUCCAAGUAUGAUUUCUGGGCUCUGUAACAUCCCAGAAGCCAGCCCAGCUUCUGCGUGCUUUUUUCCCUGAGGCUGAGACCAAAGAAGAGCUGAUGAUUUCCCCAAGUUGAUUUACUCUCAUAUCUGCCAUGAAGAUUCUGGGUUUUGGAUAGCCGAUGCUUGUUGCUGUUCUCUCCAAGGUGCUUUCUACAUGAUUAAAACUUCUCCCUAGCCCAAGGGUCAGAAUGAUAUGCCUUUAAUUACCAAGGGCUGUGGAAGAAACUAUCAAGUGAAACCAGCAAGAAUCUGUGUUCUAGCUGAGGCUGUCAGAGUUCUGCAGGGAAAACGUGCUGUUUGCCACCACUGCCCCCUCCCCAGCCCAGAGCAGUGCUGGUCAGCAGGAGCACAGCUGUCCACCCCCUCUGCCCCGCAAGAAGAAAAGCUUCAUAUUGAGUGCUGUAAAGACCUGUGCUUGAAAUCUGCUACUGCCUGCAACGUUCUGAUGCCUGGGAAGGGAGGAAGUGCUCCAGAGCUGCAGGUCCCCAGUGGAAACACAGAAGGGUUAACUGGCUGCUGCCUGCAGAGACUGCUUCAUGGAACUCUUCAGAUCUUAAAUGCUGAGAAGGGACAUGAAACAAUAAUCCCCUAGAGAACAUGCUGAAUGAUUCAAGAAAUUCCCCUCAAAUGGGCGCAAUGAGGCCAGGAGGCCAGUGCCAGCAUGCUUUGCCACUGUGAGCCAGCAGAAACCAAACAAGGAGACUGGCAAUGUGACUGUGAACCAGCUAACACAAAGCUUAGGAACUGGAAAUUCAAAGAUCAGCGGGAUCAACAACUGGCCCAUUUCUGAUAUGGGAUA